UACGUAGGGUGCGAGCGUUGUCCGGAAUUAUUGGGCGUAAAGAGCUCGUAGGCGGUGUGUCACGUCGGCCGUGAAAACCUGCAGCUUAACUGUGGGCGUGCGGUCGAUACGGGCAUCACUGGAGUUCGGCAGGGGAGACUGGAAUUCCUGGUGUAGCGGUGAAAUGCGCAGAUAUCAGGAAGAACACCCGUGGCGAAGGCGGCUCUCUAGUACGGUACUGACGCUGAGACGCGAAAGCGUGGGGAGCGAACAGG
This 254-nucleotide ribosomal RNA is filed under the name uncultured bacterium. Its description in RNAcentral is "partial 16S ribosomal RNA". It matches the Rfam family "Bacterial small subunit ribosomal RNA", at positions 524 to 776 of the family's 1533-position model. The record is from RNAcentral.